Molecule: unclassified non-coding RNA, 256 nt
Filed under: Hevea brasiliensis (rubber tree)
Lineage: Eukaryota; Viridiplantae; Streptophyta; Magnoliopsida; Malpighiales; Euphorbiaceae
Source: RNAcentral
UGACUUCCUAUAACACAUAUGAAGUUUUUCACUUGCAAGUACACUUCAAUAUCAAAUAAGAUUACAUUUUGCCAUGCUGUCCCUAGUACAUUAAAAAAUUUAUAAUAUUUGGAACUCUAUUUUGGACUCGUAAUUCAUAGCCCACGAUCUGAAGAAGAUACUAGCUAAAAAGUUACAAUCCUAGACUAUUAGACCAAAGACACACCAGGCCCAUUGUAGAACCUACUUCCUCAAUACAAUACUGUUUCAUGGAUUA